RNAcentral lists this ribosomal RNA (463 nucleotides) under uncultured bacterium. Its description in RNAcentral is "partial 16S ribosomal RNA". It matches the Rfam family "Bacterial small subunit ribosomal RNA", at positions 28 to 507 of the family's 1533-position model. The record is from RNAcentral.
GACGAACGCUGGCGGCGUGCUUAACACAUGCAAGUCGAACGGUGAACCCCUUCGUAGUGGAUCAGUGGCGAACGGGUGAGUAACACCUGGGCAACCUGUCCCCGUCUCUGGGAUAACUCCAAGCAAUUGGGGCUAAUACCGUAUGGUCACCGCUUCCCUCAUGGUUGGUUGUGGCAAGGUUUGCUUGCUGGGGAUGGGCUCGCGGCCUCUCAGCUUGUUGGUGGGGUAGUGGCCUACCAAGGCGAGGACAGGUAGCAGGCCUGUGAGGGUGACCGGACACACUGGGACUGAGAUGCGGCCCAGACUACUCCGGGAGGCAGGGGUGCGGAAUAGUGCGCAAUGGGAGGAAGGAUGACGUAGUGAAGCCGCGUGGGGGAUGAGGGCAUUGGGGUUGUAAUGCUCUUUCCGCUGGGCCGAAGCGAAAGUGACGGUACCUGCAGAAGAAGCACCGGCCAACUACGUG